AAAUUGAAGAGUUUGAUCAUGGCUCAGAUUGAACGCUGGCGGCAGGCCUAACACAUGCAAGUCGAACGGUAACAGAAAUCAGCUUGCUGAUU
Molecule: ribosomal RNA, 92 nt
Filed under: Escherichia coli
Lineage: Bacteria; Pseudomonadati; Pseudomonadota; Gammaproteobacteria; Enterobacterales; Enterobacteriaceae
Description: partial 16S ribosomal RNA
Rfam family: Bacterial small subunit ribosomal RNA
Source: RNAcentral